This 224-nucleotide ribosomal RNA is filed under the name Ehrlichia canis. RNAcentral's name for it is "partial 16S ribosomal RNA". It matches the Rfam family "Bacterial small subunit ribosomal RNA", at positions 80 to 321 of the family's 1533-position model. Lineage: Bacteria; Pseudomonadati; Pseudomonadota; Alphaproteobacteria; Rickettsiales; Anaplasmataceae. The record is from RNAcentral.
UAUAGGAAAUUGUUAGUGGCAGACGGGUGAGUAAUGCGUAGGAAUCUACCUAGUAGUACGGAAUAGCCAUUAGAAAUGGUGGGUAAUACUGUAUAAUCCCCGAGGGGGAAAGAUUUAUCGCUAUUAGAUGAGCCUACGUUAGAUUAGCUAGUUGGUGAGGUAAUGGCUUACCAAGGCUAUGAUCUAUAGCUGGUCUGAGAGGACGAUCAGCCACACUGGAACUG